This 460-nucleotide ribosomal RNA is filed under the name uncultured bacterium. RNAcentral's name for it is "partial 16S ribosomal RNA". It matches the Rfam family "Bacterial small subunit ribosomal RNA", at positions 338 to 795 of the family's 1533-position model. The record is from RNAcentral.
CCUACGGGUGGCAGCAGUGAGGAAUAUUGGUUAAUGGACGAGAGUCUGAACCAGCCAAGUAGCGUGAAGGAUGACUGCCCUAUGGGUUGUAAACUUCUUUUAUAUGGGAAUAAAACGUUCCACGUGUGGGAUUUUGUAUGUACCAUAUGAAUAAGGAUCGGCUAACUCCGUGCCAGCAGCCGCGGUAAUACGGAGGAUCCGAGCGUUAUCCGGAUUUAUUGGGUUUAAAGGGAGCGUAGGUGGAUUGUUAAGUCAGUUGUGAAAGUUUGCGGCUCAACCGUAAAAUUGCAGUUGACACUGGCAGUCUUGAGUACAGUAGAGGUGGGCGGAAUUCGUGGUGUAGCGGUGAAAUGCUUAGAUAUCACGAAGAACUCCGAUUGCGAAGGCAGUUCACUGGACUGCAACUGACACUGAGGCUCGAAAGUGUGGGUAUCAAACAGGAUUAGAUACCCCUGUAGUC